CUUGGGAGUCAUUCUGACGCUUCAAUGGUCAAUCAAACUCACUUAGAGAGGUUGAACCAUGUGGUGAGAAGUAGCAGGAGGUCCUUAGUCUUGGGGGCUCCCAGUAUGCUCAAGGCGCAGAACGGACUAACCUCGUGAGUGUGGCAGGGUGGGGAACCCAAGUUUCAUAAGUCACCACGGGUGCAAGACUCGCCAUAGCCCGACUCUCAUUUUAAAGCCCGAACGAGUCAAGUCUAGAAUCUCACAUGUUUGGGUUGUUUGCUAUAAAAUGUGGUUGUUAUCCCUGUACUCUCUUAUGAUUAAAAUGUUUAACCUGUUGUAUGAUGUUUAUUUAUAUAAUUAGCUCACCCUUGCCUUGUUUUUGUGUAUGUUGUAUGUUUCUCUUUUGCGAUGAUCAUCCUUGUUGGAUGUGAGCAGAUGAGCAUGAGCCCACUUUGGAGGAUGUUUUGGAAGACCAAGACAACACUGAUGCUGCAAC
This 478-nucleotide long non-coding RNA is filed under the name Vigna radiata. Its description in RNAcentral is "long non-coding RNA (VRAD_LNC009057)". Lineage: Eukaryota; Viridiplantae; Streptophyta; Magnoliopsida; Fabales; Fabaceae. The record is from RNAcentral.